RNAcentral lists this long non-coding RNA (2473 nucleotides) under Arabidopsis thaliana (thale cress). RNAcentral describes it as "ncRNA (AT5G45472)". Lineage: Eukaryota; Viridiplantae; Streptophyta; Magnoliopsida; Brassicales; Brassicaceae. The record is from RNAcentral.
CUCAUUAUUUUCCACAUCUCUGAGUCGUCCUCCUUAUUCUUUCUUAAACCCUUAAGCUCUUUCGCCAGCAUGGCCCCAUCAAACAGGACGGAUUUGCUUCUAUCUCCUUUCACGUCAAUGGGCUCAGCUUUUGCUGGAACUGCCACUGAUAAAAUUGCCACGCUGGCUUCCUUUGCAUCAGGGGCCUUCUUUGCGGAUAUCCCCAUGAUAUGCCUCCUAUCGAAGAACCUCUGAGCCUCCUCGCACGUGUCUCUGAAUCUUAUCUUUCCAAUACCCACAACAGCUGACAUCAGAGUGGGUUGCAUCAUUAGGAGAUACAUCAUGUAGUCUGACAGGAUUUUACUGAACUCACGGGCGCUAUGAUUCGCUUUAGUGCCUUUUUUUGUCUGGUAUAAGAGCUCAGUGGCUAUAUGCCAUACAAGAAGGCUCUGAUCGUAAUCCAUUUCCAUCACAUAGCGUAGAAGUUUCUCACGUUUUUUUUCUGUUUCUGGGUCACCUUGUAUGUCGCGCAGUGUCCAGUCACCUCUUGCUGAAGAUACCCUCAUGGCGCUUUCAGAGUCGUCAGCGAAACGGGAUUUGGCUUUAACCUCUCCGAAUAUGUGUUCCCACAUAUCCAGGGUGAGACGAUCACUAGAUGUGUAGAUCACCUCAUCUAGCUGAGCUCGGAUGCCAAAGAACUCCAUAAAACUUUUUAUCCAGCGUCCAGGUAGACUAGGAAUGUAAAAUAUGCAGAAGAAGCUAAACCUAAUGAUUCAAUGACACUUCCAAGUUUUGUGAAUGCGGGGCCAAUGUAAAGUAUGUUGAUAACCUUGUCAAAGGCGAUGUGUAUGAAACCCUUGGUAUGGUGGAUUCGCUUCGGUUUUAAACCUAGGCAGUAUUCGAUCAGGUUGUGUGCAUGUACAUACUCAGACCACCGGCGAUACAUGAAACUCGUGUCGAGCACUUUAUGACAUGGUAUUGUCUUGGCACUCUUGUCGGGCACUUCCUGACCUGGUAUUUUGCUGGUACUCUUGUCGAGAACUUCAUGAGACUUCUCUGUCUUCAACUCCCUCACCCUGAGAAUCCUGUUAAGAAUCCUUUUAAGAAAUGGUGUUUUCUUAGUACUCGUGUUGGGCACUUCAUGAGACUGUGUAUUCUUGUAGCAUUCAUCAUACUCCUCCACCUUCAAUUUCCUGACCCCGAGAAUGUUUUCAAGAAUCCAGUUAAGAAUGUUGUCGGACCAGGUGGGUGGAUCGUCCACUUCGUCCUUCAUCUUCCUCAAUCUGACAAACGUCCAAUCAGAUGCACAGAACAUGAUAAGAGCGAUGCAAUCCAGAGCUAUUCCUCCUAACAGCAAUGCGUAAGUAAGGCCAACAUCAAAUCCACUAUAAUCUUUCUUGCUCUUGUAUUGAAAGAUGCGUAGAGCUGCUGCAAGGCAUCCCAGGGCAAUGAACCUGAAGAGGAAUCCUAUCCAGUUGUGCAAGAUCUCGGCUUUCGUGUAUAGAGCUGCGUAGAUAAAGUUGAGCUCAACCUCUAAGAUUCUUAAAGCUUCUUCUGCUUUCAGCGAGUCAAAGAAUCUCUUGCUCUCAGCUCGUUGUUGAAAUGUAAAGAUGAGAUCAACCACAAGACCUUUGAAGAUAUUAAAGUACUUGUAGGCGUACUGGAGAAUAUUGAGUGGAGUGAACCCGUCAGGAGGCUUUACCGGAGCAUCGUCUCUUGGAUCUUUCUCAGGCUCGCCAACCUUGAUAAUCUGUGUAGGCAUCUUCAUAUCUUUCUUGGCUGCGUAUUCCUCCAUGAGCUUUGCGUAGUUUGGUCCAGGAUCAGGCCGCUGAAUCAUGGAAUCUUUGAACUUGUCAAGACUCGCCAGGUACAAAGCUAAUGUCCUCUCGACAUACUUGAUCACCCCGGUCGCAAACACCAGCAAAAUAGGUUUCCAAAGAGCAUUGGGUAACGACUGCAAAAGCACGUAAACGGUUGCAACUGAUUGAAAGAAAAGACCCAACAAGUGCCUGAGCCAGAGCUCGUUAUCUUCAAGGGCAAGGGCAGUGAUUGUAUCUGGACCACCGAGAUGCAAGAGCAAGAAAGGAACCCAGAAAGCAAACAACUCGGCGCUCUUUUUCGGUUCUCCGGGUUCUGGAUCAUCUCCUUGACUAUCUGAGAUUUGUCCGGCGGCGAAAUUGGCAGACCAAUCAGCAAGAAGGUAAGCUGACCAAAUGAAAGAGAGUAAAACUUUUCUGGAUGAGCGUUUUCUUUGAGGUGCAAAGAAAAUGAGAAAUGUUUGAAGGCUGAGACUGAAGAUUAAGACAAGAACUGAUGGUUUAUGAGAUCUAACACAGAUACAUCUAAAGAGGUUGACUUCUUUCUUUUUCUGGUUUUACUAUGAGUUUUUUUGCUUUUGAGGCUUUUUGUUGUGUGUGAAGGUUUGAAUUAUUCUGGUUGGACAGCCAUUGGAGGCUACUUGGAGACCUUGAGAUUUCUCCGUUUUUCCUUGAAU